RNAcentral lists this long non-coding RNA (283 nucleotides) under Medicago truncatula (barrel medic). RNAcentral's name for it is "long non-coding RNA (MTRU_LNC002235)". Lineage: Eukaryota; Viridiplantae; Streptophyta; Magnoliopsida; Fabales; Fabaceae. The record is from RNAcentral.
GCGAGGGAAGGUGGAUCGGAGGAGUGGAGACGGGAGAGAUAGAGACCAGAGAGAAGAGGGAUGAAGGAGAGGACAACGAGACGGAGGUGAGGAUCGGAGGAGAGGAAAGUGUCGUAAAGCCAGUGACAGAGAGGAUCGGAGUGGGAACCGGAGAGGGAGGAGGAGAGAGCGGAGUAAGCGGUGGGAGAGGAGAGUAGAGAGAGAGCGGGGCGUUCGGAGUCGGCGAGAGGAGAGAGAGUGGAGGUGUGGGUAGGGAGGAUUGAAGAGAGGGAGUGGAUUCGGG